Molecule: long non-coding RNA, 601 nt
Filed under: Zalophus californianus (California sea lion)
Lineage: Eukaryota; Metazoa; Chordata; Mammalia; Carnivora; Otariidae
Description: lncRNA (ENSZCAG00015000623.1)
Source: RNAcentral
CACAGAAAUAUAUGAACAAACCUGGCUCUGUGGAGGGAAAAGGAAAACAAGAAGAAUUUCAAUGAUGAAGGCCCCAGAUGAAGGGAGUGCUCUUAAUUUCUGAGCUUUUGUGAAGUGACAUUUCCAAGUCUGUAGUCCAUUUAUUGCUAUGUUCUGGCAGACUCUCACCAGGUGUUUUUCAACGAAGCACUAAACUUCCCCUCGUCGACUCCAAAAGGAAACCUUCAGGCACGUAUACGAGUCCCUCAUUAGCACUCGUCAGUGGCAACCAUUAUGGAAAGACCUGCUCAUAACCACUGAGUGUCAAGUCCUUAAUAGCAAAGCCUGGCUCUUCAUUAACCAGUAAACUUACUGAUUUACCGAGAGAUGUCUUUGCUUUUCUUGGAAUUUUUUCACCCACGUCUUAUCCAAGUGCCAACACCAUUUCCAGAAAGUGGAAGAAAGGAGAUGCUUAGCAAUUACAUAAGAGCAAAGUCCUUCCUAAUUGUCUAAAGGAUAAAAAGUUGAACCCAAAAAUUAGGCAGGUAAGUCAUAUGGAAAAAGUUAAGUUUUCAGACAAUGUCUGUUCACCAGGUAAAAACUGAUGAAUCACUCUUGAUAA